RNA transcript from Lolium perenne, 1858 nucleotides. RefSeq lists it as uncharacterized. The record is from RefSeq and is a predicted model, not a curated record. Lineage: Eukaryota; Viridiplantae; Streptophyta; Magnoliopsida; Poales; Poaceae.
CGCACGGCUCACCAAACGCACGACUCCCUCCUCCAUCCCCAUUCUCUCUGCCUCCUCCAGCCUCCCCACCCACCGCCGGAAUUCCCCCACCGCCGCUCCUCCAGCUUCCCCACCCGCGGCCAGGACACACACGGCGCCAAGGACCCGUGGCGGCCUUGCUCGCCGGUUCUCCGUCAAGCUCGCUAAAUGCGUCGCGCGCUAGGCACCGGCCAGGACGCGAUGGCGCCUCUCCUGGCCCUUUCCCCCGGUCGAUUUCUCGUCGUGACCGGUUGACGAGCCCAUGGACGCGCCCUUCCCGUCGCAUCUGUGCGGAUGCGGCCGUCCAGCGGCGCCCUCGGUCAGGAUGAAGCCGUCGUGCUGCAGUUCGUCACCCAUCUCCAAGGUCCAGCCGAGCUGUCGUUUCCGCGCCUUGCCACGGGACGUCGACGUCCAGCAGGAGCGGGAGCGACACUGCCUCAGUCCAGUACGACCGCCAACAGGAAAGGGGGAGGGGAGAUGAAGAAGGAGAGGGUGGCACCGCUAUCAUGGCCGCCAAGGCAUGAUGAGCUCCGGCAUGGAAGGCCAUUUUUUCCCUUUGGCGUGCUGUUGGUGCUGUUUAGUUUUGCACUUUUGCUUUGUUUGUCACACUAUGCCUCUGAUGUAAUUAGAAAGAUGCGUGUCUGUUUGGUGUUUCGUAAUUAAUCCUAGUGGUGUGAUUCAUGGAAAUAGAUGCGUGAAGAAGAUAGCCAAAUGAGUAUUUGUAAUUAAUUCCAGUUCAUAGUUCAGCUACUAGGAAUGCAUGUCUUGUGAUAAUGUAGUACAUCUACUAGGACUUUAACUUGAUGCAACAAAUUUAACUUAAGAAUAUAUCAGAUGCAAACUAUCCGAAUUAUAAAUGAGAUAGAGUUUCCAUGUUAUGAUUCGGAUCAUGGUAUAUUAAUAUUGGAUUUUUUGUUAGUGAACUGCUGUUAUGUGCACCUAAUUAGUUCAAUAAAUUGAAGUGUUUAAUAGUACUAGUUUCCUGGCCGUUUUAUCUAAUUAGUUAGCUGAAACCUUAGGUUGGUGAAACAAGAUUAAAGUUUGUUUUUUUUGUAGGUGGACAAUGUUCCUGGCCUCAUCUUUGACUACCUCGACGACGACAGUUACAUUCCGACUCGGAUGCAAAUCUCUUGGCAGUUUUAAAUCACCAUGUUGGGAGAGAUCUCCAUGUGGUUGCUGUUGAGUUUUGAGAGCUUACCUGGUAGAGGAGUUGUAUCUACUUUUGAGCAGCAUAAAGACUUGGCAGCCUGCCUGGGAAUGAGCUGACUGCUACUGUCAUUAUCAUGCUACGUCCUAGAUGGAAGUUCAAGUCUCUGUAUGGUAGAGUUCCUUGUGCAAUACACUUCAUCGCCUUCUAUGGCAUUUUAGGUUGGAAUUUCUUGCCGGUGGCGAGAUGGAUAAGGGACGUCCGGAUCCGUUUUCUUUGUUGGUUGGAUGGCAUCCUAGCUAAUCGCAGUGGUGAAGAUGAAGUCAGGUGAGACAAGAUGACUUCCUCCACCCAGAACGUCUCCAGCGGCAAGAAUGGCUACGGCUCGUAGUAAGAUCCUUGGAUGGAGGUGACCAAGGAGACCUGUGACAAAGCAAAUGGCAUGGCGAUUCGGUCCGGGCAGUUCCGCCUUAAGCAGUGCUAUUGCCAUUGGGCUCGCUGGCUGCGUGGUGGUAGGAUCGGAUGGCCCUUGACCUCUGGACUCCGCCACUCGGUAGUGGCCACCGCCAUGUCGCUGAACUGGGCGUGGACCGGCUGUAGCUGCAUGAGGAAUGUGACAGCCUGGACAUGCGGGGCACCACCCCGGAGCCUGACAUGGAGGUUAUCAGGUCUGACCCCGAGCUCAGCUUGACU